UACGUAGGGGGCUAGCGUUGUCCGGAAUCAUUGGGCGUAAAGAGCGCGUAGGCGGCUAGAUAAGUCCGGUGUGAAAGUCACAGGCUCAACCUGUGAAUGCCGCUGGAAACUGUCUGGCUAGAGUCCGGAAGGGGCGAGUGGAAUUCCUGGUGUAGCGGUGAAAUGCGCAGAUAUCAGGAGGAACACCGGUGGCGAAGGCGGUUCUCUGGGCCUUACCUGACGCUGAGGAGCGAAAGCGUGGGGAGCAAACAGG
RNAcentral lists this ribosomal RNA (253 nucleotides) under uncultured bacterium. RNAcentral's name for it is "partial 16S ribosomal RNA". It matches the Rfam family "Bacterial small subunit ribosomal RNA", at positions 524 to 776 of the family's 1533-position model. The record is from RNAcentral.